Molecule: ribosomal RNA, 490 nt
Filed under: uncultured bacterium
Lineage: Bacteria
Description: bacterial SSU rRNA
Rfam family: Bacterial small subunit ribosomal RNA
Source: RNAcentral
UCGCUAUGGGAUGGCCCCGCGGUGCAUNAGCUAGUUGGUAAGGCAACGGCUUACCAAGGCAAUGAUGCAUAGCCGAGUUGAGAAACUGAUCGGCCACAUUGGGACUGAGACACGGCCCAAACUCCUACGGGAGGCAGCAGUAGGGAAUCUUCCACAAUGGACGCAAGUCUGAUGGAGCAACGCCGCGUGAGUGAAGAAGGUUUUCGGAUCGUAAAGCUUUGUUGUUGGUGAAGAAGGAUAGAGGUAGUAACUGGCCUUUAUUUGACGGUAAUCAACCAGAAAGUCACGGCUAACUACGUGCCAGCAGCCGCGGUAAUACGUAGGUGGCAAGCGUUGUCCGGAUUUAUUGGGCGUAAAGCGAGCGCAGGCGGAAGAAUAAGUCUGAUGUGAAAGCCCUCGGCUUAACCGAGGAACUGCAUCGGAAACUGUUUUUCUUGAGUGCAGAAGAGGAGAGUGGAACUCCAUGUGUAGCGGUGGAAUGCGUAGAUAU